RNAcentral lists this ribosomal RNA (516 nucleotides) under uncultured microorganism. RNAcentral describes it as "bacterial SSU rRNA". It matches the Rfam family "Bacterial small subunit ribosomal RNA", at positions 9 to 521 of the family's 1533-position model. The record is from RNAcentral.
GAGUUUGAUCUUGGCUCAGAUUGAACGCUGGCGGCAGGCCUAACACAUGCAAGUCGAGCGGAUGAAGGGAGCUUGCUCCUGGAUUCAGCGGCGGACGGGUGAGUAAUGCCUAGGAAUCUGCCUGGUAGUGGGGAUAACGUCCGGAAACGGGCGCUAAUACCGCAUACGUCCUGAGGGAGAAAGUGGGGGAUCUUCGGACCUCACGCUAUCAGAUGAGCCUAGGUCGGAUUAGCUAGUUGGUGGGGUAAAGGCCUACCAAGGCGACGAUCCGUAACUGGUCUGAGAGGAUGAUCAGUCACACUGGAACUGAGACACGGUCCAGACUCCUACGGGAGGCAGCAGUGGGGAAUAUUGGACAAUGGGCGAAAGCCUGAUCCAGCCAUGCCGCGUGUGUGAAGAAGGUCUUCGGAUUGUAAAGCACUUUAAGUUGGGAGGAAGGGCAGUAAGUUAAUACCUUGCUGUUUUGACGUUACCAACAGAAUAAGCACCGGCUAACUUCGUGCCAGCCGCCGCUGU